ACAAACAUCAAAAUACCACCCUUCAAAGUUCAGUUGAACUUUACGCAACCAACACUGCCAAUCGAUCUUAUCUUCUCCAUCUCCUCAAAACAACUUUACGGCAACCAAACUGCUUCAAAGUUUACCACCCUUCAAAGUUCAGUUCAAGUUGAUCUUAUCUUCUCCAUCUCCUCAAAGUUCAGUUCAACAAAUAUCACCGCCCACCCUUCGGUUCUUCACCUAGGUCGUGCCGGAAACUAGAUUUGCAGUUCAGUUCAACAAAUAUCACCGCCCCCCCCCCUUCAGAUGAAGACGAUGAGGUUUUGAGGGCCGGCGACCGGAGACGCCGCUCACGGCGGCGGUCUUUAUCUCCGACCGGAGACGCCGCUCACGGUAAACCCUCCUGUUUGUGAUCAAUCACCUGAUACAUCUUGCAAAGUCCCCCUCUGCAGGAAAUUUAAAACUAAAGGGCAGCAAGUGAAUAACAAAAAGAAAGAAGCAAGAUGGGAAUUUCUAGUUAGAAAAGUUGAAGCAGCUAAAGCUGUAUCGUCGGAUAUGUAAUUUUAUUUUGGUUAUGCUCGUAGAUUUUAAACAUUUUUUUUUUAUUUGCUUUUGUAUCCGAUCUCUCUCGGAUGUUUUAUAA
RNAcentral lists this long non-coding RNA (622 nucleotides) under Helianthus annuus (common sunflower). RNAcentral's name for it is "hypothetical non coding rna". Lineage: Eukaryota; Viridiplantae; Streptophyta; Magnoliopsida; Asterales; Asteraceae. The record is from RNAcentral.